AGAGGCACGUUCGAAGCACUCAGAGAAGCUCUUUGCUGCAGCCCAGCGGCCACGGAUAGAGCCUGGGAAGUGGAGAAGGAGCUGCUCCGAGAGGGUCCCAGGGAGCAGGGGGACCCCAGGCGUGGCCCUGGCCCUUGGGAUCUCUGGGACCAGGCCUGGACCCUCGAAAGGGCGCGGCUGAUCCUGCCUAGGGGCUUGCUCUUGGCCGCCACUUCUCCUAGGCGGACUCCUCUAAUCCAGUAUGACAGCUCGAAGGCAGAGUUUGUCCUGCCAUCCCUGCGCCCCCACCCGCAGGACCUGGCCCUGCAGCAUCUCAGGGAAGGCAGCAGAGUUGAUCUGGUGCUUG
RNAcentral lists this long non-coding RNA (346 nucleotides) under Homo sapiens (human). RNAcentral's name for it is "HSALNT0229219". The record is from RNAcentral. Lineage: Eukaryota; Metazoa; Chordata; Mammalia; Primates; Hominidae.